RNAcentral lists this ribosomal RNA (252 nucleotides) under uncultured bacterium. Its description in RNAcentral is "partial 16S ribosomal RNA". It matches the Rfam family "Bacterial small subunit ribosomal RNA", at positions 524 to 775 of the family's 1533-position model. The record is from RNAcentral.
UACGGAGGGUGCAAACGUUGCUCGGAAUCAUUGGGCGUAAAGCGCACGUAGGCGGUCUGUUAAGUCGGGUGUGAAAGCCCUGGGCUCAACCCAGGAAGUGCACUCGAAACUGGCAGACUUGAAUAUGGAAGAGGGUUGCGGAAUUCCCGGUGUAGAGGUGAGAUUCGUAGAUAUCGGGAGGAACACCGGUGGCGAAGGCGGCAACCUGGGCCAAUAUUGACGCUGAGGUGCGAAAGCGUGGGGAGCAAACAG